UAGGCUUGACAUGUGGUGAGUAGCGAACCGAAAGGGGAGCGACCCGUAAAAUCGGGCCAUCACACAGGUGCUGCAUGGCUGUCGUCAGCUCGUGCCGUGAGGUGUUGGGUUCAGUCCCGCAACGAGCGCAACCCUCGCCCUUUGUUGCCAUCGGGUAAAGCCGGGCACUCUAAGGGGACUGCCAGCGACAAGUUGGAGGAAGGAGAGGAUGACGUCAAGUCAUCAUGGCCUUUAUGCCUAGGGCCACACACGUGCAACAAUGGCCGGUACAGACGGAGGCAAUGCCGAGAGGCGGAGCAAACCCGAGAAAACCGGUCCCAGUUCGGAUUGAGGUCUGCAACUCGACCUCAUGAAGUCGGAAUCGCUAGUAAUCGCAUAUCAGAACGAUGCGGUGAAUACGUUCCCGGGCCUUGUACACACCGCCCGUCACACCACGAAAGUUUGUUGUACCCGAAGUCGGUGCCU
This 465-nucleotide ribosomal RNA is filed under the name uncultured bacterium. RNAcentral describes it as "bacterial SSU rRNA". It matches the Rfam family "Bacterial small subunit ribosomal RNA", at positions 976 to 1435 of the family's 1533-position model. The record is from RNAcentral.